CAUUUUAAGCACAAACUUUAACCACAUGGUAUCAAGGUCCUCAUUAGCAGGUCAAAAUGUGGUAACUUAAUUUUUUGAGGAGCUUUUAAAUGGAUUUCAGUGCGCUAAUUCCAUUACAACUGAGAAAACUCCCACUCAGCAAAGUCCCUUCUCUGACGAGGACCGUGGGAUAUGGAUGAAAGCCUGCAGAAGAGGAAGAAGUGGACCUUGAGUUAAAGUUAGUUUGUUAACCUGCUCUAUUCGCAGUCUAAUAUUUACUCACAUACAGUGGUGAAGAAGUACUCAGAAGAAAAACUAUUCAUGAAAGUUGGCCCAUUUCAAAAUAAUAUAUUAUAUGGUGAGUAAUGAGCAAAAGUACAGAAUAGCAGAAAAUUGAAAUAAAAACUGUUCUUAAGGACAAUACUUGAGCAAAUGUACUUAGUUGCUUUCCAUCACUGCUCGGACAGUAUUUUGUUUUUCAAAGAAAUACCCUCCUGUCAUACAUUUGAAGCACUGGCCAUUUUUACAUUUUCAUCUAUUUCACUAAAUAAGUACUUUUUACUUUUCCACUCCAUUUAUCUAAUAGCUGUAAAACAUUGACGGAGCUCAUGUAUUUGAAUGGAGUUAGACUUUAAAUAAGCCAGGAGUAUGUUAAGAAAGUAGGAGGCCUACUAUAUUAAAUUCCUUUUUUAUGCUAUAUAGGACAUGGAGGAUUCUCCUCAUUAAACACAUGGUGCAGGUGUCACUGUUCUGAGUUCAGUGCAAUACAACACUGGAAAAAGAACCAUUCUUUACAAUGAGUUUUGAUAUGUUACUCCAAAUUCUUACUUUUACUUAAAAUAUCAAAUUAGGAAAAUGUAAUUUAAGGUGGUAUUGAUACUUUACUUGAGUAAAUAAUUACUUCUUCCCCCUCAGCAGUUUUAAAAGUCAUUCAUGAGCAGUAGGCAAAAGGGAAUUACUGCUGCAUCAUGCUAAAACAAGAUUAUAGGGGUUUCUCUGCAUUUAUGAUAUACAGCAUAUCAUUUAUUCUGUUAUGAAUUACUUACAAAAACUCUCUAAAAAACCCUCCAGUGGCCAAUAUGGUUUUAACUAACAACUGGGGUUUCCAACAGCAGUUGCACAUAACUCCAUGAAGAUAAUACAUAUAAUCUGAGUAACACAAGUAAAGAGGAGAUGCUAAAGAGCAGUGAAAAAAAAAAAAAAUGAGUAAUGAUAUUAGAAGUCAGACAGAUUUAAUUUCCAAUAAACAUGUAAACGAUAAUACAAAUUUGUCAGAGUUAAUGUUGUAGUCUGGAUUGACAACAAUUUUCUUAUUUCAUAAUUUAUGUUUAUUAAAUGAGAUUUUGUUUCACUGUAAUGCACAGCAGACAAUUACUUCACUUUUUACUGUUCUAGUUGAUUGUUCAAUUGCUUGUUUUUUAUCAGUUUUGUUGCUAGGUUUUGGUCACUGACUCACUGACAUUUGCACAUUUAAUUGUUCAGAAGUUGUUGAAUAAAA
Long non-coding RNA from Etheostoma spectabile (orangethroat darter), 1477 nucleotides. RefSeq lists it as uncharacterized. NCBI's taxonomy places the organism in Eukaryota, Metazoa, Chordata, Actinopteri, Perciformes, Percidae. The record is from RefSeq and is a predicted model, not a curated record. The transcript has 3 exons.